ACGAACGCUGGCGGCGUGCCUAAUACAUGCAAGUUGAGCGCUGAAGGUUGGUACUUGUACCAACUGGAUGAGCAGCGACCGGGUGAGUAACGCGUGGGGAAUCUGCCUUUGAGCGGGGGACAACAUUUGGAAACGAAUGCUAAUACCGCAUAAAAACUUUAAACACAAGUUUUAAGUUUGAAAGAUGCAAUUGCAUCACUCAAAGAUGAUCCCGCGUUGUAUUAGCUAGUUGGUGAGGUAAAGGCUCACCAAGGCGAUGAUACAUAGCCGACCUGAGAGGGUGAUCGGCCACAUUGGGACUGAGACACGGCCCAAACUCCUACGGGAGGCAGCAGUAGGGAAUCUUCGGCAAUGGACGAAAGUCUGACCGAGCAACGCCGCGUGAGUGAAGAAGGUUUUCGGAUCGUAAAACUCUGUUGGUAGAGAAGAACGUUGGUGAGAGUGGAAAGCUCAUCAAGUGACGGUAACUACCCAGAAAGGGACGGCUAACUACGUG
Molecule: ribosomal RNA, 496 nt
Filed under: uncultured bacterium
Lineage: Bacteria
Description: partial 16S ribosomal RNA
Rfam family: Bacterial small subunit ribosomal RNA
Source: RNAcentral